CCAAGUCUUGACAUCCUUUGACCACUCUAGAGAUAGAGCCUUCCCCUUCGGGGGACAAAGUGACAGGUGGUGCAUGGUUGUCGUCAGCUCGUGUCGUGAGAUGUUGGGUUAAGUCCCGCAACGAGCGCAACCCUUAAGCUUAGUUGCCAUCAUUAAGUUGGGCACUCUAGGUUGACUGCCGGUGACAAACCGGAGGAAGGUGGGGAUGACGUCAAAUCAUCAUGCCCCUUAUGAUUUGGGCUACACACGUGCUACAAUGGACAAUACAAAGGGCAGCUAAACCGCGAGGUCAUGCAAAUCCCAUAAAGUUGUUCUCAGUUCGGAUUGUAGUCUGCAACUCGACUACAUGAAGCUGGAAUCGCUAGUAAUCGUAGAUCAGCAUGCUACGGUGAAUACGUUCCC
RNAcentral lists this ribosomal RNA (402 nucleotides) under uncultured bacterium. RNAcentral describes it as "bacterial SSU rRNA". It matches the Rfam family "Bacterial small subunit ribosomal RNA", at positions 974 to 1375 of the family's 1533-position model. The record is from RNAcentral.